UCUGCAUUUCAUCGAGGACCUGCUCAGUUCGAACACCCGGAGCUGCUCAGCCUGGGAUGUGGUGGGGCACAUCUUCACUGAGUUCAGCCGCACCGCUGGAAGAAGGGCAGCUGGAGACCUUUCUGCCCGGGAAGCCCAGGAGGAAGGAGCUCUGCAGGAGCUGUGCAUGGACAUCCUGGGGUCUCUGGACGUCUCUGCGACAGGGAUGUCCAAACUCCUGUGGCCACGGCUGCUGCUGUUCGUGGUGCCAGCCCAGCACACCGGCAUGCUGAUCCCGGUCUCGCGCUGUGUCCGAGCCCUGGCCGAGAGAGAGGAUCUGACAGGACGGCGAGUAGAGGAGCUGGAUCCCCAUUUCCUCAGCUCCAUGUUUCAA
Non-coding RNA from Phasianus colchicus (ring-necked pheasant), 373 nucleotides. Lineage: Eukaryota; Metazoa; Chordata; Aves; Galliformes; Phasianidae. The record is from RefSeq and is a predicted model, not a curated record.